RNAcentral lists this ribosomal RNA (64 nucleotides) under Paenibacillus montanisoli. Its description in RNAcentral is "partial 16S ribosomal RNA". It matches the Rfam family "Bacterial small subunit ribosomal RNA", at positions 1 to 62 of the family's 1533-position model. Lineage: Bacteria; Bacillati; Bacillota; Bacilli; Caryophanales; Paenibacillaceae. The record is from RNAcentral.
CUUUUAUGGAGAGUUUGAUCCUGGCUCAGGACGAACGCUGGCGGCGUGCCUAAUACAUGCAAGU